UACGUAGGGGGCUAGCGUUGUCCGGAAUCAUUGGGCGUAAAGAGCGCGUAGGCGGCCAGAUAAGUCCGGUGUGAAAGUCAAAGGCUCAACCUUUGAAUGCCGCUGGAAACUGUCUGGCUAGAGUCCGGAAGGGGCGAGUGGAAUUCCUGGUGUAGCGGUGAAAUGCGCAGAUAUCAGGAGGAACACCAAUGGCGAAGGCAGCUCGCUGGGACGGUACUGACGCUGAGGCGCGAAAGCGUGGGGAGCGAACAGG
This 253-nucleotide ribosomal RNA is filed under the name uncultured bacterium. RNAcentral describes it as "partial 16S ribosomal RNA". It matches the Rfam family "Bacterial small subunit ribosomal RNA", at positions 524 to 776 of the family's 1533-position model. The record is from RNAcentral.